Molecule: ribosomal RNA, 253 nt
Filed under: uncultured bacterium
Lineage: Bacteria
Description: partial 16S ribosomal RNA
Rfam family: Bacterial small subunit ribosomal RNA
Source: RNAcentral
UACAGAGGUCUCAAGCGUUAUUCGGAAUUAUUGGGCGUAAAGGGCGCGUAGGCGGCUUGGCAAGUGGAUGGUGAAAUCCCUCGGCUUAACCGAGGAACGGCCGUCCAAACUGCUUCGCUUGAGACCGGGAGAGGUGAGUGGAAUUCCCAGUGUAGCGGUGAGAUGCGUAGAUAUUGGGAGGAACACCAGUGGCGAAGGCGGCUCACUGGACCGGUACUGACGCUGAAGCGCGAAAGCGUGGGGAGCAAACGGG